ACUUAAGUAGUUUAAAAAAAAUACUAAUUUGUGGAAUUGGUGAUGUAGAAAGAUACUAUCUUAGGUU
Molecule: transfer RNA, 67 nt
Filed under: Pseudophoraspis kabakovi
Lineage: Eukaryota; Metazoa; Arthropoda; Insecta; Blattodea; Blaberidae
Description: tRNA-His
Source: RNAcentral